Molecule: ribosomal RNA, 476 nt
Filed under: Streptococcus anginosus
Lineage: Bacteria; Bacillati; Bacillota; Bacilli; Lactobacillales; Streptococcaceae
Description: bacterial SSU rRNA
Rfam family: Bacterial small subunit ribosomal RNA
Source: RNAcentral
GACGAACGCUGGCGGCGUGCCUAAUACAUGCAAGUAGGACGCACAGUUUAUACCGUAGCUUGCUACACCAUAGACUGUGAGUUGCGAACGGGUGAGUAACGCGUAGGUAACCUGCCUAUUAGAGGGGGAUAACUAUUGGAAACGAUAGCUAAUACCGCAUAACAGUAUGUAACACAUGUUAGAUGCUUGAAAGAUGCAAUUGCAUCGCUAGUAGAUGGACCUGCGUUGUAUUAGCUAGUAGGUAGGGUAAUGGCCUACCUAGGCGACGAUACAUAGCCGACCUGAGAGGGUGAUCGGCCACACUGGGACUGAGACACGGCCCAGACUCCUACGGGAGGCAGCAGUAGGGAAUCUUCGGCAAUGGGGGGAACCCUGACCGAGCAACGCCGCGUGAGUGAAGAAGGUUUUCGGAUCGUAAAGCUCUGUUGUUAAGGAAGAAACGAGUGUGAGAAUGGAAAGUUCAUACUGUGACGGAC